This 254-nucleotide ribosomal RNA is filed under the name uncultured bacterium. RNAcentral's name for it is "partial 16S ribosomal RNA". It matches the Rfam family "Bacterial small subunit ribosomal RNA", at positions 526 to 779 of the family's 1533-position model. The record is from RNAcentral.
CGUAGGGGCGAGCGUUGUCCGGAAUUACUGGGCGUAAAGGGAGCGUAGGCGGUCGAUUAAGUUAGAUGUGAAACCCCCGGGCUUAACUUGGGGACUGCAUCUAAUACUGGUUGACUUAGAGUACAGGAGAGGGAAGCGGAAUUCCUAGUGUAGCGGUGAAAUGCGUAGAUAUUAGGAGGAACACCAGUGGCGAAGGCGGCUUUCUGGACUGACACUGACGCUGAGGCUCGAAAGCGUGGGGAGCAAACAGGAUU